GAAACAUCUUCGGGUUGUGAGGUUAAGCGACUAAGCGUACACGGUGGAUGCCCUGGCAGUCAGAGGCGAUGAAGGACGUGCUAAUCUGCGAUAAGCGUCGGUAAGGUGAUAUGAACCGUUAUAACCGGCGAUUUCCGAAUGGGGAAACCCAGUGUGAUUCGUCACACUAUCAUUAACUGAAUCCAUAGGUUAAUGAGGCGAACCGGGGGAACUGAAACAUCUAAGUACCCCGAGGAAAAGAAAUCAACCGAGAUUCCCCCAGUAGCGGCGAGCGAACGGGGAGCAGCCCAGAGCCUGAAUCAGUGUGUGUGUUAGUGGAAGCGUCUGGAAAGGCGUGCGAUACAGGGUGACAGCCCCGUACACAAAAAUGCACAUACUGUGAGCUCGAUGAGUAGGGCGGGACACGUGGUAUCCUGUCUGAAUAUGGGGGGACCAUCCUCCAAGGCUAAAUACUCCUGACUGACCGAUAGUGAACCAGUACCGUGAGGGAAAGGCGAAAAGAACCCCGGCGAGGGGAGUGAAAAAGAACCUGAAACCGUGUACGUACAAGCAGUGGGAGCACAGAGCAAUCUGUGUGACUGCGUACCUUUUGUAUAAUGGGUCAGCGACUUAUAUUCUGUAGCAAGGUUAACCGAAUAGGGGAGCCGAAGGGAAACCGAGUCUUAACUGGGCGUUAAGUUGCAGGGUAUAGACCCGAAACCCGGUGAUCUAGCCAUGGGCAGGUUGAAGGUUGGGUAACACUAACUGGAGGACCGAACCGACUAAUGUUGAAAAAUUAGCGGAUGACUUGUGGCUGGGGGUGAAAGGCCAAUCAAACCGGGAGAUAGCUGGUUCUCCCCGAAAGCUAUUUAGGUAGCGCCUCGUGAAUUCAUCUCCGGGGGUAGAGCACUGUUUCGGCAAGGGGGUCAUCCCGACUUACCAACCCGAUGCAAACUGCGAAUACCGGAGAAUGUUAUCACGGGAGACACACGGCGGGUGCUAACGUCCGUCGUGAAGAGGGAAACAACCCAGACCGCCAGCUAAGGUCCCAAAGUCAUGGUUAAGUGGGAAACGAUGUGGGAAGGCCCAGACAGCCAGGAUGUUGGCUUAGAAGCAGCCAUCAUUUAAAGAAAGCGUAAUAGCUCACUGGUCGAGUCGGCCUGCGCGGAAGAUGUAACGGGGCUAAACCAUGCACCGAAGCUGCGGCAGCGACGCUUAUGCGUUGUUGGGUAGGGGAGCGUUCUGUAAGCCUGCGAAGGUGUGCUGUGAGGCAUGCUGGAGGUAUCAGAAGUGCGAAUGCUGACAUAAGUAACGAUAAAGCGGGUGAAAAGCCCGCUCGCCGGAAGACCAAGGGUUCCUGUCCAACGUUAAUCGGGGCAGGGUGAGUCGACCCCUAAGGCGAGGCCGAAAGGCGUAGUCGAUGGGAAACAGGUUAAUAUUCCUGUACUUGGUGUUACUGCGAAGGGGGGACGGAGAAGGCUAUGUUGGCCGGGCGACGGUUGUCCCGGUUUAAGCGUGUAGGCUGGUUUUCCAGGCAAAUCCGGAAAAUCAAGGCUGAGGCGUGAUGACGAGGCACUACGGUGCUGAAGCAACAAAUGCCCUGCUUCCAGGAAAAGCCUCUAAGCAUCAGGUAACAUCAAAUCGUACCCCAAACCGACACAGGUGGUCAGGUAGAGAAUACCAAGGCGCUUGAGAGAACUCGGGUGAAGGAACUAGGCAAAAUGGUGCCGUAACUUCGGGAGAAGGCACGCUGAUAUGUAGGUGAAGUCCCUCGCGGAUGGAGCUGAAAUCAGUCGAAGAUACCAGCUGGCUGCAACUGUUUAUUAAAAACACAGCACUGUGCAAACACGAAAGUGGACGUAUACGGUGUGACGCCUGCCCGGUGCCGGAAGGUUAAUUGAUGGGGUUAGCGCAAGCGAAGCUCUUGAUCGAAGCCCCGGUAAACGGCGGCCGUAACUAUAACGGUCCUAAGGUAGCGAAAUUCCUUGUCGGGUAAGUUCCGACCUGCACGAAUGGCGUAAUGAUGGCCAGGCUGUCUCCACCCGAGACUCAGUGAAAUUGAACUCGCUGUGAAGAUGCAGUGUACCCGCGGCAAGACGGAAAGACCCCGUGAACCUUUACUAUAGCUUGACACUGAACAUUGAGCCUUGAUGUGUAGGAUAGGUGGGAGGCUUGGAAGUGUGGACGCCAGUCUGCAUGGAGCCGACCUUGAAAUACCACCCUUUAAUGUUUGAUGUUCUAACGUUGACCCGUAAUCCGGGUUGCGGACAGUGUCUGGUGGGUAGUUUGACUGGGGCGGUCUCCUCCUAAAGAGUAACGGAGGAGCACGAAGGUUGGCUAAUCCUGGUCGGACAUCAGGAGGUUAGUGCAAUGGCAUAAGCCAGCUUGACUGCGAGCGUGACGGCGCGAGCAGGUGCGAAAGCAGGUCAUAGUGAUCCGGUGGUUCUGAAUGGAAGGGCCAUCGCUCAACGGAUAAAAGGUACUCCGGGGAUAACAGGCUGAUACCGCCCAAGAGUUCAUAUCGACGGCGGUGUUUGGCACCUCGAUGUCGGCUCAUCACAUCCUGGGGCUGAAGUAGGUCCCAAGGGUAUGGCUGUUCGCCAUUUAAAGUGGUACGCGAGCUGGGUUUAGAACGUCGUGAGACAGUUCGGUCCCUAUCUGCCGUGGGCGCUGGAGAACUGAGGGGGGCUGCUCCUAGUACGAGAGGACCGGAGUGGACGCAUCACUGGUGUUCGGGUUGUCAUGCCAAUGGCACUGCCCGGUAGCUAAAUGCGGAAGAGAUAAGUGCUGAAAGCAUCUAAGCACGAAACUUGCCCCGAGAUGAGUUCUCCCUGACUCCUUGAGAGUCCUGAAGGAACGUUGAAGACGACGACGUUGAUAGGCCGGGUGUGUAAGCGCAGCGAUGCGUUGAGCUAACCGGUACUAAUGAACCGUGAGGCUUAACCUU
This 2926-nucleotide ribosomal RNA is filed under the name Escherichia coli 3.3884. RNAcentral's name for it is "bacterial LSU rRNA". It matches the Rfam family "Bacterial large subunit ribosomal RNA". Lineage: Bacteria; Pseudomonadati; Pseudomonadota; Gammaproteobacteria; Enterobacterales; Enterobacteriaceae. The record is from RNAcentral.